AUGCGGCGCGUGCUGCGAUUGGAUGGGAGCGCUGUCCGUCGGGCGCGUGUCGCGUGCUUCUGGCAGCCGGGCUCCACUCCGAGCCCAAGCAGCGGCGCGGAAGGAGGAGGAUGGACGGGAGGAGUCUCGUCUGCCUGUUCCCGACAUCCUGCCCUUGAAGGCAGGGACAGCAGCAGCAGCACAGCGCUCUUCUCCUCCUCUGCCUCUCUUUUUUUUUUAUUAAUAUUCUCCUCCUGCGGUGUCUCCUGGACCGGUCGGAGGUUGCGAUGGGGGCCCGGUCAUGUUGAGCGGGGGGAGGGAGGGCCUCUACGAGCUGGGCAGCCGGCUCCAGCAGCAGGGCGAGUCGCGGGCAGCUCUGCGCUGCUUCCUGAGCUGCCUGCUGGGCCUGCCGCACGUGCACAGCUUCCGCUCGCUGCCCGACUGCCUGCACCAGAUCGCCGAGCUCUUCAUAGAGGAAAAGAACUAUGUGAAAGCUCUCCGCUUCAUCCAAGCAGAGAAGAUGUUCUAUGAGGUGGCGCUGAUCGAGCUUACCGCCCUACAAGGCAACGCAGGGGCUCAGGAGGCGUCUCCGCCGGGCUCUCCGGGAUGGGACUCUCCAGAGGAGCCGCUGGAGCUGUCGGAGCUCGCCUCCCAGGCACAGGACUACGAGAGACUGGCCCAGCUGUGCAUCAUGAGUAAAAGACCUCACCUUGCCUUGGAGUACAGCGGGAAGGCCACUAAAAUUCGGCAGAAGGCUUUCGGCAACGACCACCCCAUCACCGCCAGGAGCCUGGAGCUGCUCGCCUCCGUCUAUGCCGAGAUCGGCAAGACCGAGUACUCAGACUCGUUGGGCCAGUGCGUGUCAGCGCUGUCAAAGAGGUUCGCCACCAACGAGCCCUUCAGCAAUGCCCUCAAUGGCACAGCCUCAACCCGCAGGGUCCGCCACCACCACAGGAAGGACCCCCACCCUCCAGAGGAAGCACCAAAACCCCAGGUCUCCACGUGCAAAUUUCCCACCUCCAUCCUGAAGAGGUCCAACCUCAGCGGCAGCGACACAGAGCCCACCCAGAGGCGAAAAUCAGAGCGGCGGGUUCGCUUCAGGGAGCCGGAGAACGUUGUGCACGACAUCCCACAGUGUGACUGUUUAAUAGAUUACGACGGCUCUCCCUGUCGGCCGCACCUGGCGCUGUUCGCCUGCUUCUUCCUGCUGCUGUCCGUGCUGGGGGUGGCGCUGUACUGCACAGACCGGCGGAGGCCACUGCGCAUGUGUGAGGAGCUGGAGGCCCUGCUGGCCGUCUAUCUCCUGCAGAUGAAGCAGGUUGUGUGGGCCUGCUGGAUCUGGCUCACCAUGCAGUGA
This 1336-nucleotide long non-coding RNA is filed under the name Scleropages formosus (Asian bonytongue). RNAcentral's name for it is "lncRNA (ENSSFOG00015015244.2)". The record is from RNAcentral. Lineage: Eukaryota; Metazoa; Chordata; Actinopteri; Osteoglossiformes; Osteoglossidae.